UUACGGAGCUGGGUGGGGCCGGAGGGCUGCCGCGGAAAGAUAAACACUGUAAUAUAGAAGUGGGUGGGGGUGAACAAUGGAGCAAUAAACCUAUAGAAGGCUGUGAUAAAUGGAGAGAGAAGUGGGCUCAAAAGAGGAGGAGGGCGCCGCGGUGAGACAGCGAGAAGGGGAGGAGGCUCUCCACCGCGGCUCCGCUACUCUCGCUGCUUUCUCAGAAACAGGAACUUGCCCGUUGAACCGUCGUCCCUGUACGUCAGAGGCUCGAUGACGGACCCGUGUAUCUGUUGCUGUGGCAACUCGGCAACGAUAAACAUCCGGAUGACAUCUCUAAGGACGUGUGUGUGGAAAUGAGAACAGUCCCCUGUUCCUGCUGAACUGAGCCAGCCGACGUCACACACUGAUUAUCAGCACAGCAGGCACAGGAGACCGACCCAGCGGGGGGUGAGGAGAAGCGACGAUGGAGUCCGGCACGCUCGGCGGGCGAUCCCGGGUCCAGGGAGCGGAUGUACUGACCGGGCCGUGACCGGUCACUGUGCAGGUUGAAGCCGUAGCCCCCCGCUGACCGAGUCAGGUGACACAGACGUGGAGCGAGCUC
Xiphophorus couchianus (Monterrey platyfish) is the source of this 595-nucleotide long non-coding RNA. RefSeq lists it as uncharacterized. The transcript is spliced from 3 exons. Lineage: Eukaryota; Metazoa; Chordata; Actinopteri; Cyprinodontiformes; Poeciliidae. The record is from RefSeq and is a predicted model, not a curated record.